Molecule: long non-coding RNA, 4120 nt
Organism: Monodelphis domestica (gray short-tailed opossum)
Lineage: Eukaryota; Metazoa; Chordata; Mammalia; Didelphimorphia; Didelphidae
Source: RefSeq, a predicted model, not a curated record
CGACAUUUUGAUCUCUGUAAGUGGAAACCUAUUCGCCCCUCCCCUACGACCUUCGCGCUCAACGUCAUUCCCUUGCACUGUGUUUGACUCUCUUGUGACGUGACGUCACGAAAAGAGUACCUCCGAAGGCAUCAGAGUGCACACAACUCAAGGAGUGUUCAUCGAGGUAUGGAAUCACAAAGACGCGACCCUGCAGGUGGCCUCUGAGGAUACCAAAAGUCCAUGGAGGAAAACUGAAAGCAUCCAGCUGAAAGAAAGUCUGCCCAGAAAGGACAAUGCAGAUGUGUCUGGCACCAUCCACAACAUGAAACAGACACCAGACAACAGAAAAAACAGCAAAUAAGCUGGGAAAAACCAUCACUGCCCUAUAGACAGGUCUAAUGAAAUAUCCACACAAAUGCACUUUUAUGUAAGACAAUAUACCUAGAGGAAAAUAUCAUUAAUUUGCUUACAUAUAUUCUAUUAUGCUAGUAUAUGGGUAUUUGUUGUAAGAUCUAGGUUUAUCAUGUAACUGAAAACUUCAAAUGGUAUUUGUACAAUAUGUAACUUGCAAUUAUUUUAUUGGAAAUGUUCCAUGUUACCCAAAUUUGAUCAAAUGAAUAUCAUACAAUUGAAAUAAAACAGUACAGUGAAUACUGUCCAGUUGUAACACAAAUUGUUGCUAUCAUCCAAAAUGUAUGUAUCAUAAUUAUCUAAUAUGGUUCAUUUUACAUUUGCAAAAAGAAUAAGUCUUCAUUAGAAUCAAUCUUAUUCAAUAGUCUAUGUUAUUGGAAACGGCAUUGAAGCUUUUAAAUAGAAAAACGGGGUGGAAAUGGUAUUAAUAACCAUCUAUCUCUCCAACACCCCAGAAGGAAUGUGAGCUAAUAUUAUAAAAUCACAAUUCUCAUGUAAUGAUAAACGUUGCAUUGUAUGUUGUACAUGGAUUGGGCUGAACAUUGCCAGGAGAUUAAGACUGUUAGAGACCCAACAGGAUGAUAACUUUGGGUCAAGGUUUUGUUUAUAUGUUUACAGAGAAUGAAAACACCUGGUCACCCACCAAGCACAUCAUGCCAUGUGGCACGGGACCAGGAAGAGAAGCAGACGAGUAACAUCAACGAUGCCAGCUGAUUGCAGAACAGGCAUGCUAGAAGAAACCAUCUCUGGUGACUAUGAAUACACCAAACACUGACAUUACACUAUCUUUAAUGACAUUUACUAUUAUUCUACUGAUGGACAAUUGUGUCUUUUAUACCUAAACCAAUAUCAAGCAUGUUAACUUGUAUGGACUAAACCCCACUCGUGUAUAUUUAUGACAUCAGAUAAAUUCCACACUCCAAGACUUUAUCAUGGGAUCAAAAUUGAAAUAGCUAUGAUUGUUUAAACACUAAUGUAUACCUUUCAUUUUGGAUGUCUGUUAUAUAUGGCAAAAGGGAAUUUAUUUUGUAUACAUUGUAAAAUUCCUACUUGUAUUGUAAGAAAUGCUACUAUUAACAAGGGUACAGGCAUUGGUAUGACUCUCCAAAGAGAAGGGGAUAAAAAUUUUGCAUUCAUAGCACAGACCUAGUAACCCUGACCACAAAAAUUAUGUUUAAUGCAGGAGAUGCUGCAUAGGAAUGUUUAAGGGACAGAUGAUGCUGACAUUACUCUUAAAAAAGGGAUGAGAUGUCAGGCAAAAUGCACUUUAAAAUUUUUAAUUAGGAACCUAAGUUAUUGAAAAUUGAUCAUCUACAUCUAUGUAAAGAUUAUAUUCCUGACAAUGACUAUGUAGACAUUAUGCGCCAACUGCCAAUGCUGUAAUUAAAUAUUAAUAUCAUUGUUGAUCAUUACUCCUGAAACCCCAUCUUUUUGGGUAAUAUCUUUAUGGGAACUCUUUCUUGCUCUCUCCCACCAGUCUCAGAAUUCAGGCAGGCCACUGGAUUUGGGGUCUAUUAGCUUCCACUUCAAGUACUGGAAGACGUUCUGGGAUAUGAAAGCAAAGCCUCAGUAGUAAACUGAGUGCUCUAGGUUGGACAACCUCUGUGGACGCACAGAUGGCUGACCCUCCUAGGUGGAAUAGGUUAUUACACACAUACAUGGAGCAAGGGCAAAGUAUACACUAAGUUUCCCCUUUUGGAGUAUGUAUUGAAAAUAGGAAAAAAAUGGCACUAAUAAGAUUGCAGAAAAAGCACAUUGAAUAUUAUACAUUUACAACAAGGAAAGAAUAAGUUACAUCAAAUUCAGUAUGAACAAGUAACUGAAGAAAUUGCUUCUACAUAGAAAGCAAAUCAAACUUCUAUUAAUCCAAACAUUGGUUUGGUGGAAUGAAUUUUGCAAACAUUGGUUAUGUUGUAUUAUUGGUUAUUAUAUUGAAUGGUUCAUGUACACAGAAGCAGAAAUUUAAAUAAGGCUCAUAUAAGAAAUAUGCAGCCAGAAGGUGCAAUGUCACUUCAUUAGCUUCAUUCUUGUCAUGUCUUCAAGAAAUCAAAAUGUAAUAUUUAUGGCACUAUUGAUAUUUGAAUUAAUGUUUGCACUACUGUUUGAAAAAUGUAAAAGAUGCUAAUAUCUUUGGUAUGCUAUGCAAAAAAAGGGGGGGAUAAGAAAGAAAGUAUUUUUAAGAACAUUUCAUACCAUUUUUAUAUCAUUUUUAAUCCUAUUGAGCAAUUUUGAUUUGAUGCUCUCACUUUAUUUUCUCUGAAUAUUUUCAUUAUACUAUGUUGUUUUCAUUUUUCUAUACUUCAAAGUAUAUUUCAAGUACUUUUAACACUCUCAUCCUGAGCAAUGAAGGUGCAAAAGUUUUUCUCUUUAUAUGUACCCAACAGUGUGAGAUUAUAAGAACAUGACAGCAUUUGUUAAGUUGCAGGUGACUAUCCUGGGAGACCAUGACUGAUUGCAUAAAAAAGGGAAUGCAGAGGACACCUCAAUGGGCCAGACAGCCAAAGCCACACACACAGACAUAUAUUCCAUAAGAGAUGGAUAUAUGUGGGCUGCUGAGGUUGGAGGUGCCCGACCCGGUGUUUGACACUAUCAUUCGCAGGUGGAUCGGGUAUCAAACUCCAACCAUAUUACCAUGUGACAGGCAUCUAGGCUGAGAUAUCCCUAAAAUGCAUAAUCAGUACAAGGGAGAAAAAGGAAAUUCCCCUUCAUAUCCAGAUGCAGUCAUCUUUUAUCUUGCUAUAAAAGCUCUGGCAACUUCUUGUAAUCCUAACUGUAUGUGGGCAUUAAUAUUAAUGCACCUGUCCUAUGUUCUAUGGGACUACUACCUCAAUAAUUCAGGAUAAUUAGAGUAAAGAUUAUUUUCUUAUUACUUUUGUCAUUAUUUUUAUCUUUCAUGACACUUUUAUCUUUGAUUUUGAUUACUAAGCAUUAAGAUCAUUUUUAUCUUUACAAUAUUAUUGAUAAGUUAAGAGUGAAAAUUUUCAUUGUUGUUGACAAUCACAAUUACUUUUCACAGCCAAAGUUUUGGCAAUAUAAUUUAGUUGUCUAUUUUGAAUCACUUAAAGUAUCAAUUGAUGAUGCUACAUGAUUUUGAUAUUUUUAAUGUUACUCACCAAUUUUAUCACAUUUUUAUAUCACUCACCUUUCUUUUUAAAAAUAAAAAAGGGGGAUAUGUAGCAUUCCAAGCAUAUUCACAUCUAUGAAAUAUAAAUGAUUGUAUGUUACUGUGUCUUCAGACACAAGGUUAUACUCGGAUGUUUGUGAAUGAAAUCUUGACCUGGCCAUGCGGCCUAUUGCCCAAGAUAAACUCAUUAACAUUUUGGCUCAGAGUCGCAUUCCAUUGAGAAAACGCGGGUUGAAAUCUACACGCCCAAAAAGGUGUUACUCUUACCACACCAUCCAAUCUUAAUUGUCUAUGCUUUGUAAUGUGAUCACUACGUGCUUGAGAAUGCCACCCUAAUCACUCGAGAAUAAAGACAGAGGCAGCCCCCAUGAAUUUUCUCUUGGAUCUUCAAUCUGCUCUAGGAAUAUCCCUGUCUCUCUCCCUCUCUAAUCCUUCUCCUCCACCUCAUGUUCCUUAGUUCUUAUAUUUUCCUUUCAAAGAGAAUAUCAUAGGGGUUUGCCUGCCCUAUUUAAACACUGAUUUGUCUGUGUCUGUCAUUCUUCACCCUGGUUCUCGGAUUCCCUAUCUCUCCUCGGGUCCCUAUCACAAAGGAAGAACCCCCUC